RNAcentral lists this transfer RNA (81 nucleotides) under Perkinsus olseni. RNAcentral describes it as "tRNA-Ile". It matches the Rfam family "tRNA". From Rfam's summary of the family: Transfer RNA (tRNA) molecules are approximately 80 nucleotides in length. The record is from RNAcentral. Lineage: Eukaryota; Perkinsozoa; Perkinsida; Perkinsidae.
GGCUCGACGAUCCUGUAGCUCAGUGGUUAGAGCGAUGGAUUUAUGAGCAAUAAGUCGUGGGUUCGACCCCCGGCGGGGCUA